RNAcentral lists this long non-coding RNA (332 nucleotides) under Heterocephalus glaber (naked mole-rat). Its description in RNAcentral is "lncRNA (ENSHGLG00000050237.1)". Lineage: Eukaryota; Metazoa; Chordata; Mammalia; Rodentia; Bathyergidae. The record is from RNAcentral.
AAACAAACAAAACAUGGCUCUGCUUGUAAACCUUCCCUGCUUACGUCAACCCGACUCAACCUGCAGGUCGUCUCCGGAGUUAAAGCCACCAUGAGCAGAUGUAAUACCCUCCCUCCAACCUUCUUCCACAUUGGUUUGCCACUUAAUUUCUGAAAGGCCUUAUAAAAACUGCAAAUCUACCCAGGACAGGUGCAGCCUCUGUAAUGCUGAGAAGGCUUUGUCUGUGACUGGACCCCACUGAAGUAAGCACCGCCACCUGAGACAGCAAGGUGAGGUCAGAAGUUGCGGCGGGGGCGGUAGGCUUGUCAGGCUGCCUGAUGAAAGCACACGAC